RNAcentral lists this long non-coding RNA (256 nucleotides) under Helianthus annuus (common sunflower). RNAcentral describes it as "hypothetical non coding rna". The stretch from base 1 to 99 matches the Rfam family "Small nucleolar RNA Z107/R87". Lineage: Eukaryota; Viridiplantae; Streptophyta; Magnoliopsida; Asterales; Asteraceae. The record is from RNAcentral.
GAUUGCAGUGAUGACCUCAGAAAAAUUCAAGCUCAACAGACCGGAAUGCAGGAUUCUUAACUGAGUUUUGCGUGUCGAUAACCCGCUCACUGAGCAGUCUUUCUUUCAUUCUUUUUUUUUUGAGGGUUUUAUUGAAAUUUCAAUUGUAAGAUUUUGUUAGUCUGUCAUCAAAUGAUUAUAAAUUAAUUUAAUCUUAGGACACCAUUGGACACAACUUAUAGUUGUGGUUGAGAAUACUCUUAUUUAUGAUGAUGAC